This 254-nucleotide ribosomal RNA is filed under the name uncultured bacterium. RNAcentral describes it as "partial 16S ribosomal RNA". It matches the Rfam family "Bacterial small subunit ribosomal RNA", at positions 524 to 776 of the family's 1533-position model. The record is from RNAcentral.
UACGUAGGUGGCGAGCGUUGUCCGGAUUUAUUGGGUUUAAAGGGUGCGUAGGCUGUGAGGUAAGUCAGCGGUGAAAUGCCCCCGCUCAACGGGGUGAAGUGCCAUUGAUACUGCCUUGCUGGAAUGCGGAUGCCGUGGGAGGAAUGUGUGGUGUAGCGGUGAAAUGCAUAGAUAUCACACAGAACACCGAUUGCGAAGGCAUCUCACGAAUCCGCUAUUGACGCUGAUGCACGAAAGCGUGGGUAUCAAACAGG